CACGUAGGCACCAAGCGUUGUCCGGAUUUAUUGGGCGUAAAGAGCUCGUAGGCGGUUCAGUUAGUCGGGUGUGAAAACUCUGGGCUCAACCCAGAGAGGCCACCCGAUACUGCUGAACUUGAGUACGGUAGGGGAGCGGGGAAUUCCUGGUGUAGCGGUGAAAUGCGCAGAUAUCAGGAGGAACACCGGUGGCGAAGGCGCCGCUCUGGGCCGAAACUGACGCUGAGGAGCGAAAGCGUGGGUAGCAAACAGG
Molecule: ribosomal RNA, 253 nt
Filed under: uncultured bacterium
Lineage: Bacteria
Description: partial 16S ribosomal RNA
Rfam family: Bacterial small subunit ribosomal RNA
Source: RNAcentral